CGGGAAGUAGCUCAGCUUGGUAGAGCACAUGGUUUGGGACCAUGGGGUCGCAGGUUCGAAUCUUGUCUUCCCGACCA
This 77-nucleotide transfer RNA is filed under the name Bacillus subtilis. Its description in RNAcentral is "tRNA-Pro". It matches the Rfam family "tRNA". Rfam says of the family: Transfer RNA (tRNA) molecules are approximately 80 nucleotides in length. Their secondary structure includes four short double-helical elements and three loops (D, anti-codon, and T loops). Lineage: Bacteria; Bacillati; Bacillota; Bacilli; Caryophanales; Bacillaceae. RNAcentral also lists the same sequence under 1 other name. The record is from RNAcentral.